GAUGAACGCUGGCGGCGUGCCUAAUACAUGCAAGUCGAACGAAACUUCUUUAUCACCGAGUGCUUGCACUCACCGAUAAAGAGUUGAGUGGCGAACGGGUGAGUAACACGUGGGCAACCUGCCCAAAAGAGGGGGAUAACACUUGGAACCAGGUGCUAAUACCGCAUAACCAUAGUUACCGCAUGGUAACUAUGUAAAAGGUGGCUAUACUACCGCUUUUGGAUGGGCCCGCGGCGCAUUAGCUAGUUGGUAGGGUAAAGGCUUACCAAGGCAAUGAUGCGUAGCCGAAUUGAGAGGUUGAUCGGCCACAUUGGGACUGAGACACGGCCCAAACUCCUACGGGAGGCAGCAGUAGGGAAUCUUCCACAAUGGGCGAAAGCCUGAUGGAGCAACGCCGCGUGGGUGAAGAAGGUCUUCGGAUCGUAAAACCCUGUUGUUAGAGAAGAAAGUGCGUGAGAGUAACUGUUCACGUUUCGACGGUAUCUAACCAGAAAGCCACGGCUAACUACGUG
This 512-nucleotide ribosomal RNA is filed under the name uncultured bacterium. RNAcentral describes it as "partial 16S ribosomal RNA". It matches the Rfam family "Bacterial small subunit ribosomal RNA", at positions 28 to 507 of the family's 1533-position model. The record is from RNAcentral.